CUGGCUGAUGAGACUAAGGCGAAUGCGACCCAUGCUCGUGGAUCUCUGGGGGUGGGGGCACCAAGUCGGAUCUGAAAUCUUAGUGAGGCGCCUGAGGCCUGUCUCCUCACCGUAAGGCAGAUCAACAGCACUGCUGGCCUUGCCUCUGUUUCUGCUGCUGCCUCCAGUUCCUGGCAGCUGCCCGCAGGGAGGCCCACAGGUGGGACCAAGAUAGGGCCGGGCACGAGCCGCCUGAGCACAACCUUGGAUCUGACA
This is a small nucleolar RNA of Catagonus wagneri (Chacoan peccary), 255 nucleotides long. The record is from Ensembl. NCBI's taxonomy places the organism in Eukaryota, Metazoa, Chordata, Mammalia, Artiodactyla, Tayassuidae.